RNAcentral lists this long non-coding RNA (252 nucleotides) under Trifolium pratense (red clover). Its description in RNAcentral is "long non-coding RNA (TPRA_LNC007504)". The record is from RNAcentral. Lineage: Eukaryota; Viridiplantae; Streptophyta; Magnoliopsida; Fabales; Fabaceae.
UUUAGCUCAAGGUAAAAUAUGUUAUAAUCUUCAGUUCCAAAGACAUUUAUUACUACAAAAACCUGUUAAAUGGCUUUAAAUAGCCUCAGUCUUUAAUGUCUUUAAGAACAAGAGAGUUCUAAUGGAAAAACUUCAUAUUUCAAGGCUGAAGAAUGUUUCGAUGGAAGCCAAUGAAUCGAAGUAAUCAGGAAUUGUGGACUUAGAGUAUUUUUCAUUAUCUAAGUGUGAUUCGACUUCGACGGUUACAACGGU